RNAcentral lists this ribosomal RNA (1368 nucleotides) under Triticum aestivum (bread wheat). RNAcentral's name for it is "partial small subunit ribosomal RNA". Lineage: Eukaryota; Viridiplantae; Streptophyta; Magnoliopsida; Poales; Poaceae. The record is from RNAcentral.
AUGGAUCAGGCCGCCUCCUACUCCACCACCACCACGCCCCUGCUGCUGAUCCUCGGCUCCCUCACGCUCGCGGUCUCGCUGUUCGUGCUGAUUGGUCGCAGCAGCCAUGGACGCGGGAAGGCGGGGCUCCCGCCCGGCCCGCCGGCGCUGCUCUUCCUCGCCAAGUUCGUCGCGCUCCGCCGGUCCAUAUUCGACCUGGGCCCGCUGCUCGUCGACCUUCACGCGCGCCACGGCCCCGUCAUCUCCGUGCGCCUCUUCCGCACGCUCGUCUUCGUCGCCGACCGCAAGCUGGCCCACCGCGCGCUCGUCCAGGGCGGCGCCACCUUCGCCGACAGGCCGCCGCCGGUCGACCCUGUCCGCAUGUUCACUUCCGGGGGACGUGACAUCAGCUCCUCCUCCUACGGGCCGUACUGGCGCCUCCUCCGCCGGAACCUCGCCGGGGAGGCGCUCAGCCCUGCCCGUGUUGGUCUCUUCGCGCCGGCGAGGAGGUGGGCGUGCGACGGCCUCGUCUCCAGCCUCCUCAGCGAGCAGCAAUCGCAGCGCCAGGACGCCGUGACGCUCAGGCCGCUCCUGCGCCGGGCCAUGUUCGAGCUGCUCGUGUACAUGUGCUUCGGCGCACGGCUCGGACGGGAAACGCUCGACGAGGUGGAGGAGCUGCAGCACCAGGCGCUACUCUCGGUCACCACAUUCCCGGUCUUCGCCUUCUUCCCGGCGGUCACUAAGAGACUCUUCGGCAGACGCUGGGCGGCGUGCCUCGCUGUGCGCAGGAGGCAGGACGAGGUAUUCGUCCCGCUCAUCCACGCGAAGCGCGGCGACGGUGACCCGCCGUGCUACGCCGACUCCCUCCUCGCCGUCCGCGUGGCCGAUGAGGGCGGCCGCCAGCUCACUGACGCCGAGAUGGCAAUGCCGUACCUGAAGGCCGUCGUGCUCGAGGGCCUUCGGCUGCACCCGCCAGGCCACUUCGUCCUCCCGCACGGCGUGCAGAGCGGCGACGCGGAGAUCGCGGCCUACGCGGUGCCCAAGGGAGCGGAGGUCAACUUCCUGGUAGCGGAGAUUGGCCGCGACGAGACUGUGUGGACGGCGGCGCGGGAGUUCCGUCCGGAGAGGUUCCUGGAGGGCGGCGAGGGGCACGGAGUGGACAUCACGGGGAGCAGGGAGAUCAAGAUGAUGCCUUUCGGCGCAGGGCGCAGGAUGUGCCCGGGGUACACGCUGGGCAUGCACCACGCCGAGUACUUCGUGGCGAGAAUGGUGAGGGAGCUGGAGUGGCGGCCGGCAGCGGAGGGGGCGAAGGUGGACAUGGCGGAGACGCUCGAUUUCACCACCGUGAUGAAGCACCCGCUCCGUGCGCUCAUCGUCUCCAGAAGCUAA